This 42-nucleotide small RNA is filed under the name Arabidopsis thaliana (thale cress). RNAcentral describes it as "ATSL228680". Lineage: Eukaryota; Viridiplantae; Streptophyta; Magnoliopsida; Brassicales; Brassicaceae. The record is from RNAcentral.
CUCAUGUGGUAGAGCUUAGAAGUAGAAACAGCUCUAUCAACA